Molecule: ribosomal RNA, 492 nt
Filed under: uncultured bacterium
Lineage: Bacteria
Description: partial 16S ribosomal RNA
Rfam family: Bacterial small subunit ribosomal RNA
Source: RNAcentral
AGUGAACGCUGGCGGUAGGCCUAACACAUGCAAGUCGAACGGCAGCACAGUAAGAGCUUGCUCUUACGGGUGGCGAGUGGCGGACGGGUGAGGAAUACAUCGGAAUCUACUUUUUCGUGGGGGAUAACGUAGGGAAACUUACGCUAAUACCGCAUACGACCUACGGGUGAAAGCAGGGGAUCUUCGGACCUUGCGCGAUUGAAUGAGCCGAUGUCGGAUUAGCUAGUUGGCGGGGUAAAGGCCCACCAAGGCGACGAUCCGUAGCUGGUCUGAGCGGAUGGACAGCCACACGGGAACUGAGACACGGUCCAGACUCCUACGGGAGGCAGCAGUGGGGAAUAUUGGACGAUGGGCGCAAGCCUGAUCCAGCCAUACCGCGUGGGUGAAGAAGGCCUUCGGGUUGUAAAGCCCUUUUGUUGGGAAAGAAAAGCAGCAGGUUAAUACCCCGCUGUUCUGACGGUACCCAAAGAAUAAGCACCGGCUAACUUCGUG